This 155-nucleotide unclassified non-coding RNA is filed under the name uncultured fungus. RNAcentral describes it as "sequence contains ITS1, 5.8S rRNA gene". The record is from RNAcentral. Lineage: Eukaryota; Fungi.
UCGAAUACCAGACGGGUUGCCGUCGCGGUGCAUCACCGCUUUCUCCCUUGCUUAUCCGUACCUUUGUUUCCUCGGCGGGCAUGCCCGUCGCUGGACCGUUUGUUCAACGCUCUUGUUGUUUGCAGUGUUGUCUGAGCAUUACGCACCAAUUGUCA